CUUCCAGUAGCACCUUAGAGACCAACUAAGUUAGUUAUUGGGAUGAGCUUUUGUGUGCAUGAAGUUUGCAUGCACACGAAAGUUCAUACCCAUAACAAACUUAGUUGGUCUCUAAGGUGCUACUGGAAG
Molecule: non-coding RNA, 129 nt
Organism: Podarcis lilfordi (Lilford's wall lizard)
Lineage: Eukaryota; Metazoa; Chordata; Lepidosauria; Squamata; Lacertidae
Source: the annotation of a GenBank genome assembly